Molecule: ribosomal RNA, 183 nt
Filed under: uncultured bacterium
Lineage: Bacteria
Description: partial 16S ribosomal RNA
Rfam family: Bacterial small subunit ribosomal RNA
Source: RNAcentral
UACGGGAGGCAGCAGGGAGGAAUUCUGCGCAAUGGGCGAAAGCCUGACGCAGCGACGCCGCGUGGAGGAUGACGGCCUUCGGGUUGUAAACUCCUGUCAGAGGUGAAGAAAACCCCCUUCGGGGGGCUUGACGGUAACCUCAGAGGAAGCCCCGGCUAACUACGUGCCAGCAGCCGCGGUAAU